CAGUCGAGAAUCUUCGGCAAUGGACGAAAGUCUGACCGAGCGACGCCGCGUGCGGGAUGAAGGCCCUUGGGUUGUAAACCGCUGUCGUAGAGGAGCAAAGGUAGUGGGGUUCUCCCCAUUAUUUGAGUGAUUCUAGGAGGAAGGAGAGGCUAAGCUCGUGCCAGCAGCCGCGGUAAGACGAGCUCUCCAAACGUUAUUCGGUAUCACUGGGCUUAAAGAGUUCGUAGGCGGCUUUGUAGGUGAGGUGUGAAAGCCCACGGCCUAACCGUGGAAUUGCGCUUCAAACCGCAGGGCUGGAGGGAUGCAGGGGUAUGCGGAACAGAUGGUGGAGCGGUGAAAUGCGUUGAUAUCAUCUGGAACACCGGUGGCGAAAGCGGCAUACUGGGCAUUUUCUGACGCUGAGGAACGAAAGCUAGGGUAGCGAACGGGAUUAGA
RNAcentral lists this ribosomal RNA (435 nucleotides) under uncultured bacterium. RNAcentral's name for it is "bacterial SSU rRNA". It matches the Rfam family "Bacterial small subunit ribosomal RNA", at positions 352 to 782 of the family's 1533-position model. The record is from RNAcentral.